UAAAUGUUUUUUUUUAGGUUU
This 21-nucleotide non-coding RNA is filed under the name Caenorhabditis elegans. The record is from RNAcentral. Lineage: Eukaryota; Metazoa; Nematoda; Chromadorea; Rhabditida; Rhabditidae.